AUGGCUAAUCUAAAAAAUCUCACUAGAUUGGGACUCUGGUGAGGAGUUCCACUGGAUUGAAACUCUAUUAUUAAUGAAAGAUUAGUUAGUAAUUAAAUUACUAAUUAGUUUAAUUUGAUUAAGUAUUAAAGUUUAGAUCGUCUGAUUGAAUUAGAUUCAAUCAGGUCAUGUCCGAUUAGGUUAUGAGAUGACUUAAUCGGUAAAAGAGAAUUGAUCCUAAUUUGAUUGGGUCUAUGACUCAAUUAAUGUACUGAUUUGAUCAGAUUUAAUUGAGAUUAUAGAAGCCUAAUUAGAUUAGAUUCAUCAUAUUUUAUUUAGGUCUAAUUGAUUGGG
Molecule: long non-coding RNA, 333 nt
Filed under: Elaeis guineensis (African oil palm)
Lineage: Eukaryota; Viridiplantae; Streptophyta; Magnoliopsida; Arecales; Arecaceae
Description: long non-coding RNA (EGUI_LNC066975)
Source: RNAcentral